GGUGGAAGACUGCAAUAUCAGAACUGGACACUGAAAGGCCUCAUGCAGAAAAACAAGGGACAAUAAAGCAAAAUCGUCAUCACGCUGCCCUUUCACAUGUCUCAAACUGACUCUAAAAGACUAAAAUUCUUACAUCAUUUUUCUAAUGAGGAAACGCAAGCAUGAUUUAAAUGACUAGACCAAUCCACGAGAGAAGACCCCGUCAGAUGUAGGCUAUGCUGGCUGGAAAUGUCCCUUUGUUUCAGCCUGGUGCUCAGUGCUGAGCUGGGUCGAAGUGGACUGGCUUUUUUGUCCUGGACUGGCUUUCAGUGUGGCCCGAGACAGUAGCAGUCUCAGGAGAGCCCAAGAACCCACCGUCUUCUCACUGUUUGGAGCUAAACCCUCGCAAGGGUCUCUGUGAGAUUUUGACACCACCAGAACUGAAUCUCAACCUUGAAAUGAUUUUGUAUCCAGAGUCUGGAGUCAGACUUGGGAUCCUUACACCAUCUGUAGACAAUGUUCAACCAAAAAGCAAAAAAUGUGGAAUCUUUCCUCAAACUGCUUACCUAGCAAUACAUUUCACAGGAAUGCUGCAAGUGUGAAGCCUGGAUUACACUGGUUAAUCAAACACCCCAGAAAGGGGCAUUUCGCUUUGAAGAUACACAGAAGAUGACAUACCUGCUCUGAAGAGUUCAAAGCCGCACGUAGAGAAAAGCAGCAAGAGGAGCCAAAGCAUGAUUAUCAGUUGCUUAAAAAUCCUGUAUUGCUAUGCUUGUUGUUUAUGUUGUUGCCUUAACUGUAAAAUGGGGAUAAUAUUUCUCUCUACAUUAUAAAUUGAUUUUAUAAUUAAUUUUAUGAUUGAAUUGAUGGGGAAAAAGGUACUAUAAAAUAAUAUUUUGCGCAUCUAAUCUCUGACAGGAUACACAAGCAAAUGACAAAACCAAAAGGAAUUUACAUGGCUUAGACCUUUGUUUCAUGUUGAAAGACUGUGAGUGCAGAGAUUUUUGUGCCUAACUCCAAUUAAUAUGCAAUUUCACUAUAGGAUUUUAAAGAUAUCUCCUUCUGUGAGUCACAUUUGGGUAUUUUUACCCUGGCUAUGUUUGCUUUCACAAAAACAGUCACAAUAAACCUUCCAUACUGCCAAAUAGCUCUUCAACAAGAGCCACUGAAAUCAAGACACACAAAGAAGUCAGAUAUAUUUA
Dromaius novaehollandiae (emu) is the source of this 1181-nucleotide long non-coding RNA. RefSeq lists it as uncharacterized. The record is from RefSeq and is a predicted model, not a curated record. NCBI's taxonomy places the organism in Eukaryota, Metazoa, Chordata, Aves, Casuariiformes, Dromaiidae. The transcript has 3 exons.